Molecule: ribosomal RNA, 466 nt
Filed under: uncultured bacterium
Lineage: Bacteria
Description: partial 16S ribosomal RNA
Rfam family: Bacterial small subunit ribosomal RNA
Source: RNAcentral
GACGAACGCUGGCGGCGUGCUUAACACAUGCAAGUCGAACGGAAAGGCCCUGCUUGCAGGGUACUCGAGUGGCGAACGGGUGAGUAACACGUGGGUGAUCUGCCCUGCACUUCGGGAUAAGCUUGGGAAACUGGGUCUAAUACCGGAUAGGAACCAUCUUUAGUGUGGUGGUUGGAAAGUUUUUUCGGUGUAGGAUGAGCUCGCGGCCUAUCAGCUUGUUGGUGGGGUAAUGGCCUACCAAGGCGGCGACGGGUAGCCGGCCUGAGAGGGUGUACGGCCACAUUGGGACUGAGAUACGGCCCAGACUCCUACGGGAGGCAGCAGUGGGGAAUAUUGCACAAUGGGCGAAAGCCUGAUGCAGCGACGCCGCGUGGGGGAUGAAGGCCUUCGGGUUGUAAACUCCUUUCGCUAGGGACGAAGCUUUGUUGUGACGGUACCUAGAUAAGAAGCACCGGCUAACUACGUG